This is a long non-coding RNA of Drosophila santomea, 1345 nucleotides long. RefSeq lists it as uncharacterized. Lineage: Eukaryota; Metazoa; Arthropoda; Insecta; Diptera; Drosophilidae. The transcript has 3 exons. The record is from RefSeq and is a predicted model, not a curated record.
ACCACGUACUUGAAAAAAUGGCCAGUAUUGGCAAAAAGUGGCUGGGGCACAAGAAAAUAUGAAAGGAAAUUUCAUUAAGCUGACAGCAGCCAACGAGCCAAGUUGCUGAAAAGUUAAUCUAGCAAACUUUUUGGACAGCCAAAUUUUUCAGUUGCCAGCAUGUGUGUGUGUGUGCGUGUUGUGCCCCAAAGAUGUCCAUUCACAGAUGAUCUGCUCGAAUGGAGGCCAACUUUAUGUGUCUUAGAAAAUAUUAUGAAGAUAUUUACCAAAUUCACUGGCUGGCAAGGAUGUGCUCCAUCAAUUUGUUACUCGCUCUCUCAAUAGACCAGCUCAUGUGCUGCUGACACAUUCAAUUGAUUAAGCCAAGCCACAACGCCGCCGAGGAAACUUUUCGGCCAGAUCCUGGCUGGAUCCUGGCAAAAAGAAGAAGGAGCGGAAGCUCAUUGCAAGGCAAAGUUAAUUUCGAAUCGUUUAUCAAACAGCGUGGAGCUGCAAACUUGAAGUGCAUGUGCUGGCAGGCUGCCAUAUUCGAGAGUACCUGACUCUAGAAUUUGACUAGAAAAAAACUAUAACCUUGUGUGGAAAAUACUGCGCAUAUACGAACUUGUGGGCGAAGGUGCUUCCAGUUUCAGCUUCAGCUAUUUGUCAAAUUUGACUCGACUUUGGCUGCACUGGGCCUGGUGUGCAAAUUGAUGAAAUGAGUUGUGAAAAUUCACAGAGCACCUACUUAUAUACCAUAUGCACAUGGCCAAGUUAAUGGAAUCAAUGCGGCAGGUAUGCAAGUAAACGGAAUGGAAAAUAAACCAAUGCUAUGCAAACAAAUGGUUUGAAUGAAAAGAAAAAACUUCUUAAAAGCCGAGAAAAAAAUCAGCAUUCCGUUUGCCUACUAUGGCCAAAGAUUUUGAAAUGAUGAAGUGGCAGUUGCCAAAGAAACUAUUUUGGCUGAUUCCCAUGGCAGCCAGUCAAUCAUGGAGUCACUUAACACGCUCCAUAUCCUGGUACUCGAUGCUGGGGAGCGAACGGCUUCCAUAUAGUACAUAUGAAUUAUCCUUGACACGUAUAAUUCGCAGCCACUAGCUGCUGAGGUGUAAUCGUUUGCCGCUCGAACGGAGUGCCAAAUGAGGCGACACACCGAUGCACUGCAAGAAAAUUGGUGCGCUAUCGGAAGUAAGAAACUUGUGAAAUUCUCUUAUAAAUACGAAUAAGACUUACGGAGUACGAAAAGGAACAUUGUCAGCUGUGCACGGUAACCCUGGAGCUAGGCGAACAUAGCAAAGAGUCCUUAGUUCGCCAGGACAACACAUAGCAGGCCAAUUCCGCGCACUCAUGCUGCUGCUGUGGCUUU